This is a long non-coding RNA of Musa acuminata subsp. malaccensis (wild Malaysian banana), 1635 nucleotides long. RefSeq lists it as uncharacterized. The record is from RefSeq and is a predicted model, not a curated record. Lineage: Eukaryota; Viridiplantae; Streptophyta; Magnoliopsida; Zingiberales; Musaceae.
AUUUGUGAAAUUAUUCCAUAACCAAUAAAUUUGUUACUUCUGUGAUUAUAUUGAUGCCAGAAGAUCAAUUCACAUUGCUGUUCUUGUUCCUUUUGACUGUAGCUUUUUAUUGUUGACUGUCUUUUUCUCUUUUAUAAUUAUCACAUGAAAAUCUGAUAUAAGAUCUGUGUUCAAUUUUCCGAGAUAUCCCAGGUAAUUUCAGUCAGAAUGGUUGCAUAUGGGAGCAGUAAAUAGUUUUGGAGUAGUAUACUAUAUGGUUGGCCUUUUACCUUUCUUUGUUUGCUCUCUUUUUUUUUUCGAGUGUUUCGGUUCAUUCACCUUUUUUUAGCAAUAAUCGAACGGUUAUUAAUUGCCUAGCUAGUUUGUAUUAAAUCUUCAUAUUAUUUGCCAAGUGGAUGCCAUUUUUGGGUCGCAUGCAUCAUGCCAUGUUAUUUUAGUAUUACGACUUGCGACUUUGUUAUUGUUAUUGUUGUGCUUCAACAUGUCCAUCAGCACCAAGUCAUAUCUAAUAAACCAACGGGUACUUGCCAUUAUGCACUGGAUGAAUGCAGUGGCAUGAAUAAAGCACCCCAUCCUGCUCUUGUACACAGUGUGUUUGUGGUGUGCAUGAGAGUUAAGACAGCAUGGUACUUUGGUGGUUUUCACCAUCGUACAUAAAAGAAUGGGAGCUGUGCAACUUUUUCGCAAUCAAUCUUACACUCAAGUCUAGCCCUGCUUUCUUGUAAUGAGAAGCUUAUUUUGAACUCAUGUCAUCACGACAUUUUGUUAGACUAAAAUGAGGAUAACAUAUUUAGAAAGGAAAGCUGAUUCUUACAAAGGAGAUUUCUCAACAGAACCCCCUUUUUUUCUCAGGUCUUAUUUCAAUAUUUCUUAGCAAGAUGUAUUUCAUCCAAAUAUUAACAGCAACAGGAGCAUCUGCCUUGACAUCCUUAAGGAGCAGGGCAGCCCUGCUCUUCAAUGUCUAAGGAAAAAGUUGAUAGUCCUUCCAUCUGCGGGAGUAGUUUCAUUUUCCUGCUUGUCCAACUAUUCCAACUUGUGUUGCAUUUCUUGCCAAAAUGCUGAAAUAAAUGGAUGGUUUUGUAUUAGUUAAAUUGUACAACCCGAUGCAAUUUGAAAAAACCUUGAUUUGUAUGUAGUCAAGUAAUCUUAAAUCUACUCAAUGAAUAGCCUUUUGCUUUUAAUUCCUUGUUAAUUACUGCUGGAAUUUUGAAGUUGUGAUGCCGUUGAGCCAUUCUCACCUAUUAGAGGUGUAUUUAAAAUGGGCUUUUUUGUUCGUGCUACUUCUUGAAACAAUAAUAACAUGCUAAAUCAGGUCUUUAAUCUGAGCUAUUCUCUUGUUUUCCUUUGAUUUCUAGUGUCUUUGCAUUCUCUGAUCAUUAUUCUAGUUGACACAUCCUAGAUUACAAAGCAAUUGUAUCUUCUUUUUUGUCCUAGAAAGAAAUUUGUUGAAAGAGGUGGAAUCAAAUGAAAAGCAUUUUUGCAAACAAGUGGAAGUCCUUUCAAAAUGCUAUUGCCCCGAGAUGAUUGAGUAGAGAAAAUGAAGAACUUAGCAAGUGUAACUUUUUUUUUUUUACUGUGUGAAGUGUAUUUGUAUUAACAGGUCAGACAAAUUGUUUUGUGGUGCAAUAUAUUUUU